RNAcentral lists this transfer RNA (66 nucleotides) under Eogystia hippophaecolus. RNAcentral's name for it is "tRNA-His". The record is from RNAcentral. Lineage: Eukaryota; Metazoa; Arthropoda; Insecta; Lepidoptera; Cossidae.
ACUUAAAUAAUUUAAAUAAAAUAUUGAUUUGUGGUGUCAAAAAUGUGAAUUGGUUCAUUUUAAGUU